AUUGAACGCUGGCGGCAUGCCUUACACAUGCAAGUCGAACGGCAGCACGGGAGCAAUCCUGGUGGCGAGUGGCGAACGGGUGAGUAAUAUAUCGGAACGUGCCCAGUCGUGGGGGAUAACGCAGCGAAAGCUGUGCUAAUACCGCAUACGAUCUCUGGAUGAAAGCGGGGGACCGUAAGGCCUCGCGCGAUUGGAGCGGCCGAUAUCAGAUUAGCUAGUUGGUGGGGUAAAGGCCCACCAAGGCGACGAUCUGUAGCUGGUCUGAGAGGACGACCAGCCACACUGGAACUGAGACACGGUCCAGACUCCUACGGGAGGCAGCAGUGGGGAAUUUUGGACAAUGGGCGCAAGCCUGAUCCAGCAAUGCCGCGUGCAGGAUGAAGGCCUUCGGGUUGUAAACUGCUUUUGUACGGAACGAAACGGCGAGCUCUAAUAAAGUUUGCUAAUGACGGUACCGUAAGAAUAAGCACCGGCUAACUACGUGCCAGCAGCCGCAGUAA
This 500-nucleotide ribosomal RNA is filed under the name uncultured bacterium. RNAcentral's name for it is "partial 16S ribosomal RNA". It matches the Rfam family "Bacterial small subunit ribosomal RNA", at positions 30 to 523 of the family's 1533-position model. The record is from RNAcentral.